AACGCAUAUUGCGCCUGCGCCUCGGCAAAGGCAUGUCUGCCUCAGCGUCGGUUUACCCCCUCCAAUCUCUCUCCACUCUGGAGAGACUUUGGGAUCUGACCUUCCCUUUCUCCCUUUCUCUGGGUUGGUUGAAAUAGAUGCCCGUGCCCACCAUCAAAACGAAGGCACAGAAAGGUAGGCCGUUUCAUCAAGCGGCACUGCCCCUGUGAUCUUCGGGUGAGUACUCGGAUGUGAUACAGGAUUCUCUUCCUCUUCACGAGGAGAACUUCAAACAUCUGACCUGAGAUCAGGCAAGACCACCCGCUGAACUUAA
Molecule: unclassified non-coding RNA, 313 nt
Filed under: uncultured fungus
Lineage: Eukaryota; Fungi
Description: partial contains 5.8S ribosomal RNA, internal transcribed spacer 2, and large subunit ribosomal RNA
Source: RNAcentral